UACAGAGGUCCCAAGCGUUGUCCGGAAUCAUUGGGCGUAAAGCGCGUGUAGGCGGCCCGAUAAGUUCGCUGUGAAAAGUCCAGGGCUCAACCCUGGGAUGCCGGUGGAUACUGUCGGGCUCGAGUCCGGAAGAGGCGAGUGGAAUUCCUGGUGUAGCGGUGAAAUGCGCAGAUAUCAGGAGGAACACCAAUGGCGAAGGCAGCUCGCUGGGACGUGACUGACGCUGAGACGCGAAAGCGUGGGAGCAAACAGG
This 253-nucleotide ribosomal RNA is filed under the name uncultured bacterium. RNAcentral describes it as "partial 16S ribosomal RNA". It matches the Rfam family "Bacterial small subunit ribosomal RNA", at positions 524 to 776 of the family's 1533-position model. The record is from RNAcentral.